This 230-nucleotide ribosomal RNA is filed under the name uncultured bacterium. RNAcentral's name for it is "partial 16S ribosomal RNA". It matches the Rfam family "Bacterial small subunit ribosomal RNA", at positions 562 to 791 of the family's 1533-position model. The record is from RNAcentral.
AAAGCGUGCGCAGGCGGUUAUGUAAGACAGAGGUGAAAUCCCCGGGCUCAACCUGGGAACUGCCUUUGUGACUGCAAGGCUAGAGUACGGCAGAGGGGGAUGGAAUUCCGCGUGUAGCAGUGAAAUGCGUAGAUAUGCGGAGGAACACCAAUGGCGAAGGCAAUCCCCUGGGCCUGUACUGACGCUCAUGCACGAAAGCGUGGGGAGCAAACAGGAUUAGAUACCCGAGU